RNAcentral lists this ribosomal RNA (541 nucleotides) under uncultured Pseudomonas sp. Its description in RNAcentral is "bacterial SSU rRNA". It matches the Rfam family "Bacterial small subunit ribosomal RNA", at positions 114 to 650 of the family's 1533-position model. Lineage: Bacteria; Pseudomonadati; Pseudomonadota; Gammaproteobacteria; Pseudomonadales; Pseudomonadaceae. The record is from RNAcentral.
GGCCUAGGAAUCUGCCUGGGAGUGGGGGACAACGUCUCGUAAGGGACGCUAAUACCGCAUACGUCCUACGGCAGAAAGUGGGGGAUCUUCGGACCUCACGCUAUCAGAUGAGCCUGGGCCGGAUUAGCUAGUUGGUGAGGGAAUGGCUCACCCAGGCGACGAUCCGUAACUGGACUGAGAGGAAGAUCAGUCACACUGGAACUGAGACACAGACCAGACUCAUACGGGAGGGAGCAGUGGGGAAUAUUGAACAAUGGGCGAAAGCCUGAUCCAGCCAUGCCGCGUGUGUGAAGAAGGACUUCGGAUUGUAAAGCACUUUAAGUUGGGAGGAAGGGCAGUAAAUUAAUACUUUGCUGUUUUGACGUUACCGACAGAAUAAGCACCGGCUAACUCUGUGCCAGCAGCCGCGGUAAUACAGAGGGUGCAAGCGUUAAUCGGAAUUACUGUUCGUAAAGCGCGCGUAGGUGGUUUGUUAAGUUGGAUGUGAUAUCCCCGCGCUCAACCUGGGCAAGUGCAUCCAAAACUAGCCUGCUAGACUAGU